Molecule: long non-coding RNA, 1469 nt
Filed under: Nicotiana tabacum (common tobacco)
Lineage: Eukaryota; Viridiplantae; Streptophyta; Magnoliopsida; Solanales; Solanaceae
Description: long non-coding RNA (NTAB_LNC014686)
Source: RNAcentral
CUCCAUGUCUUCUCGCUAAGCAGCUCAAGCUGUUGCUGCUUUAAGCCUAGAACUGACUGCUUCCCAUGACACGAGCUUCUCCAUAAAGAUGGAUAUGUAGUCAGGCCGCCGGUUCUACAAGCAAAACAUGGUAGUGCUACCGUUAAGAGAGUUCAAACAUAUGUCUUGAGGAAACAUGGAACAUCAAAGAAAAUAUUUAAGUAGUUUCAUCAGCCAGGCUUACCUGAAAGUCCAGAUAGUAGGCAUGCUGCAAUAUCAAACACAAAAUUAAAAGAAUAAGACAUCACUUCCUAAAUCAUUUCAACCACCCGCCUUCCAACGGGAGAGAGAAAAAAAAAAAGAAAAAAACCCAAAUUCAGAUAGAUUUAAGACAAGUGAGUGUGUCUACUUACCUCCCAAACGUCUAUGGUGAGGAGCGGCUGCAACCAAAACCACAGUUGUGAGAUUCCACUAUAUUAUUAACUACUAGGUAUGUAAGAUAAAACCACAGUAGUGAGGUUUGCACUAUAAUACUAACUACUAGGUAUGUAAGAUAAAAUCCUCAUGAACAAAAGAAACAGAGAAGCACACGUUAUACUCACUGUGUAACCCAAAACAAGAGGAUUUUCAGCGUUAGGAGUUUUCACCAAGGCAAGCUUUUUCUCUUCAGGUUUGUCUACAAAGUAACAAAUGCAUCACUUUUCAGCUAUUUGGCUCAGUUUUAAAAAAGGGUUAUACGGACACAUAGAUAUGCAGACAAAGGCAAAGAAUUUCUCACAUGCAAGCCAGGCCCAACCGGAGCCAAAUUGUGUUGCCGCAGCUGCCUUAAAUUCUUUAACAAAUGCAUCAUAGGAACCAAAGUCUCUGUUGAUUAGUUCUAAUAAUUCACCAGAUGGCUCUCCUCCUCCGUUGGGCUUCAUUGAUUCCCAGAAAAACUGAUGAUUCCAGGCCUGUAAUGCGAAAGAAGAUAUAACAGGACUCAGCAACUCAGCGUUUUACAUGUAAAAAUAGCCAAAAGUGCAUAAACCAUUGAACCAACAGACUGACUUGUUAUAGUCAAUGCCUUACUUUGAUACCUUAAAAACUGUUGCAUUACAAACAAAUACAGCAAUCAAAUGUUAAGUUCCCAUCAAAGACUUGGAUCAUUUAGAAAUGAAAUAUUACUCUUGUAAAGAAUUUUCUUUUUUAACCAUACCAAACAGAUUCAGAAAUUCAUUGAUAAGGGACUUGAUUGUACAUAACAGAAAUCUCUUUCCUGAGCAAGUAAAUUAACCACUCAGGAAGCCUCUCAAGCGGUUAAACAAAAAAGGAGGGGAAGGAGAGAAGUGAUACUUUACCUGAGCUGCAUUGUUGAAUGCUGGGAGGGGAGCACCUUUAUUAUAUGUAACAAGUAUUAUGUCUUCUAGUGUCUUUCCAUCUAGUUCUGUUCCGUCUAUUUGCUUGUUUAAGUUGUCGACAUAAGCUCUGUGAUGCUUCCCCCAGUGGAAUUC